Molecule: ribosomal RNA, 427 nt
Filed under: uncultured prokaryote
Description: bacterial SSU rRNA
Rfam family: Bacterial small subunit ribosomal RNA
Source: RNAcentral
UGAGGAAUAUUGCGCAAUGGAGGCAACUCUGACGCAGCGACGCCGCGUGGGCGAAGAAGGUCUUCGGAUCGUAAAGCCCUUUUCUAUGUGACGAGACAAGGACGGUAGCAUAGGAAUAAGUCUCGGCUAACUACGUGCCAGCAGCCGCGGUAAAACGUAGGAGGCGAGCGUUAUCCGGAGUUACUGGGCGUAAAGCGCGUGUAGGCGGCGUGGCAGGUCGGAUGUGAAAGCUCCCAGGCUAAACCGGGAGAGGUCAUUCGAAACCGCCAGGCUAGAGGGUAUCAGAGGAGUGUGGAAUUCCGGGUGUAGUGGUGAAAUGCGCAGAUAUCCGGAGGAACACCAGUGGCGAAGGCGACACUCUGGGGUACCACUGACGCUGAGACGCGAAAGCAUGGGUAGCGAACGGGAUUAGAUACCCCCGUAGUCC